AGAACACCCAGAACGGAGUCAGGAUCAAGACGUGGCCAGAUUCUCAUGAGGGUGUUGCCUCGGACUUGCACUUUGAGAACCUCAUCAUGGACAACGUUGGAAACCCUGUCCUGAUCGACCAAGAGUACUGCCCAUGGAACCAAUGCAAAUUACAGAAUCCAUCAAGAGUGAAGCUUAGCAAAGUGAGCUUCAAGAACAUUAAGGGAACUUCUUCUACACCUCUUGCGGUGAAGCUUGUUUGCAGCGGGGGAUAUCCGUGCCAAAACGUGGAAGUUGGGGGCAUUGAUAUCAAAUACAAUGGAAA
RNAcentral lists this unclassified non-coding RNA (304 nucleotides) under Hevea brasiliensis (rubber tree). The record is from RNAcentral. Lineage: Eukaryota; Viridiplantae; Streptophyta; Magnoliopsida; Malpighiales; Euphorbiaceae.